CGACGGUCGCCUAACAGUCACUUGGCUGGAGACAGUCAGCAGCGAACAUGCUGUGCUGCUUUCCCAGGCCUCCAGGCCGCAGCCUCAGGACCCCGCCCAGGGAAAGCACUUGGGAGUGAGUGAGAGGAUGGAUCACUGGGUCCAGACGCUCCAGGCCACUGGCCAGGAACCUUCCUGCCCUCAUGGGCAGCACAGGGCAGGUCUCACCAGACCCAGCGACCACUGGCCCUGAGAUGAGAGGGAGCCCAGGGCAGGUCUCCCUGGGCCUGGCCACCACACACUCGGAGCCACUGAGUCCAGGACAGGACCAUUUAGGAUUGGCCACCUCUAUUGGAAAUCAGGUGGCGGAGAGCCUGUCACAGGCCUGCCUGGUGAGGAUAGUGAAGACAGGCUGGUGGUGCACCCCAUCGAAGCCCCUGGAGAAGCCCAUCCCGGGUAGCUGCCCCGUCUGUGGCGUCUCCUUCCCAGACUCCUCCGGGAUCUGCAUCGCUUCCCUACAUGACAGGAUGCUGGGAAGAUGUGGAUUCACAACAGUGCAAGAGGAGCCCAGAGGAGGCACAGACAUUGGGCACCACAUCGCUACAUGAGCGAAAGCCUGAGGAGAGGAAGGGUGGAACAGUUGCAGAGUGUCUCUCACUUCUCAGAUAGUGAGUUAUGGAGCAGCAGCCCUGUGCCCUUGAGUGCAAGCAGAGAGCAGAUGCCAGUCUCUGUCCUCGUGGAGCUGACAGUGGGGACAAGCAGAGAGACAGUGUCUCAGGCUGCCCUGAGGAAGGCAGAGGUGGUCACAGCACAGAACAAGGACUGCCUCCCAUGGAACCUUCUCUCAGGCUCUCAGGACUGCCUGGGCCAGGACUGCUCCACUGGACAUGGGGAGAGGAUGGGGCCAGACCAUGCACAGACUGGGCAGGAAGCUCAUGUGUCCAUUGCUGUGGGUGCCCCGAACAGGUAGUGUGGGAGGAAAGGCCAGGCCUCUCAUUCUGCUGUCCACCUGCCUUCCCCGGAUCCACGUCUUCUGUCCUUGACUCAUCGCUGGAGCUGCACUCCCAGGAGAAUAUCCUAGCUGAACUCCUGGGCCAGCAAGAGCAAGCUGAGCCCAUGGAGGCAGAGCCCAUCGAUGAGGAAAGGGCUGCAGGGCCAGCUGCAGCCCAAGCUGAAGUCCCACCUGUAGAGCUUGUGCCAGCUCCACCUGCAGCUCCCUCCCCAGCUCUGGCACCACAGCCAGAGGCAGCGCCAGGAACCCCUUCUCCACCAGCUGCACAGCUGGGGAUCCUGGUGGUUGCACGGCGGGCAUCAGCUCCUGAGCUCCAGAAGGGGCAAGCUCCUGCCCCACCCCUGCCAUUCCCCUCCAUUACUCUUGGUCAUGUUUUGGCAUAUAGUUUUGCUCUUAUUUUCUGGGUUUAUGUAAAUAAUAG
Molecule: long non-coding RNA, 1412 nt
Filed under: Heterocephalus glaber (naked mole-rat)
Lineage: Eukaryota; Metazoa; Chordata; Mammalia; Rodentia; Bathyergidae
Description: lncRNA (ENSHGLG00100031087.2)
Source: RNAcentral